GUAGGUGAACCUGCGGAGGGAUCAUUACUGAGUUUUUAACUCUCCAAACCAUGUGAACUUACCACUGUUGCCUCGGUGGUCGGUGCUGGAAACAGUGCUGCCACCGGUGGACUACUAAACUCUUGUUAAUUUUUGUCAAAUCUGAAUCAAAACUAAGAAAUAAGUUAAAACUUUCAACAACGGAUCUCUUGGUUCUGGCAUCGAUGAAGAACGCAGCGAAAUGCGAUAAGUAAUGUGAAUUGCAGAAUUCAGUGAAUCAUCGAAUCUUUGAACGCACAUUGCGCCCAUUAGUAUUCUAGUGGGCAUGCCUGUUCGAGCGUCAUUUCAACCCUUAAGCCUAGCUUAGUGUUGGGAGACUGCCUAAUACGCAGCUCCUCAAAACCAGUGGCGGAGUCUGUUCGUGCUCUGAGCGUAGUAAUUUUUUAUCUCGCUUCUGCAAGCCGGCCAGACGACAGCCAUAAACCGCACCCUCUCGGGGGGCACUUUUUUAAUGGUUGACCUCGGAUCAGGUAGGAAUACCCGCUGAACUUAAGCAUAUCAAUAAGCGG
Molecule: ribosomal RNA, 548 nt
Filed under: Microdochium bolleyi
Lineage: Eukaryota; Fungi; Ascomycota; Sordariomycetes; Xylariales; Microdochiaceae
Description: eukaryotic LSU rRNA
Rfam family: 5.8S ribosomal RNA (bases 169-322)
Source: RNAcentral